AAUUGGAGGGCAAGUCUGGUGCCAGCAGCCGCGGUAAUUCCAGCUCCAAUAGCGUAUAUUAAAGUUGUUGCAGUUAAAAAGCUCGUAGUUGAAUUUCGGGAUCAAUAUUUCGGUCAUGCCGUUGGUAUGCACUGUUAUCAUUGAUUUCUCACCUUCUAAAGAACCGUAAUGCCAUUAAUUUGGUGUUACGGGGAAUUAGGACUGUUACCUUGAAAAAAUUAGAGUGUUUAAAGCAGGCUCACGCUUGAAUACAUUAGCAUGGAAUAAUGAAAUAGGACAUCCGAUUCUAUUUUGUUGGUUUCUAGGAUCGAUGUAAUGAUUAAUAGGGACAGUCGGGGGCAUCAGUAUUCAAUUGUCAGAGGUGAAAUUCUUGGAUUUAUUGAAGACUAACUACUGCGAAAGCAUUUGCCAAGGAUGUUUUCAUUAAUCAAGAACGAAAGUUAGGGGAUCGAAGACGAUCAGAUACCGUCGUAGUCUUAACCAUAAACUAUGCCGACUAGGGAUCGGAUGAUGUUAAUUUUUUAAUGACUCAUUCGGCGCCUUACGGGAAACCAAAGUGU
RNAcentral lists this ribosomal RNA (560 nucleotides) under uncultured Glomus. Its description in RNAcentral is "SSU rRNA". It matches the Rfam family "Eukaryotic small subunit ribosomal RNA", at positions 546 to 1106 of the family's 1831-position model. The record is from RNAcentral. Lineage: Eukaryota; Fungi; Glomeromycota; Glomeromycetes; Glomerales; Glomeraceae.